CCUACGGGUGGCAGCAGUGGGGAAUAUUGGACAAUGGGCGAAAGCCUGAUCCAGCCAUGCCGCGUGUGUGAAGAAGGCCUUCGGGUUGUAAAGCACUUUCAGUGGGGAAGAAAGCCUUGGGGCUAAUACCCUCGAGGAAGGACAUCACCCACAGAAGAAGCACCGGCUAACUCCGUGCCAGCAGCCGCGGUAAUACGGAGGGUGCGAGCGUUAAUCGGAAUUACUGGGCGUAAAGCGCGCGUAGGCGGUCUGAUAAGCCGGUUGUGAAAGCCCCGGGCUCAACCUGAGAACGGCAUCCGGAACUGUCAGGCUAGAGUGCAGGAGAGGAAGGUAGAAUUCCCGGUGUAGCGGUGAAAUGCGUAGAGAUCGGGAGGAAUACCAGUGGCGAAGGCGGCCUUCUGGACUGACACUGACGCUGAGGUGCGAAAGCGUGGGUAGCAAACAGGAUUAGAUACCCGAGUAGU
Molecule: ribosomal RNA, 464 nt
Filed under: Vreelandella stevensii
Lineage: Bacteria; Pseudomonadati; Pseudomonadota; Gammaproteobacteria; Oceanospirillales; Halomonadaceae
Description: partial 16S ribosomal RNA
Rfam family: Bacterial small subunit ribosomal RNA
Source: RNAcentral